UCAUUCGCUCUCAACGAACGACUGCUGUAGCUGCCUUGGGUCGUGUCGGAUCCUCGCGGGUCCGACGCUCUCAUGUAGCGACGGUGUCAAUGAGGAAUGC
RNAcentral lists this unclassified non-coding RNA (100 nucleotides) under Luculia grandifolia. Its description in RNAcentral is "partial external transcribed spacer". The record is from RNAcentral. Lineage: Eukaryota; Viridiplantae; Streptophyta; Magnoliopsida; Gentianales; Rubiaceae.